RNA transcript from Gallus gallus (chicken), 1782 nucleotides. RefSeq lists it as uncharacterized. The transcript is spliced from 3 exons. Lineage: Eukaryota; Metazoa; Chordata; Aves; Galliformes; Phasianidae. The record is from RefSeq and is a predicted model, not a curated record.
CGCCGACGCGGACGGAGCCCAACGGACGCUCACGGCUCUCCGCCUCACCGCGCUCACCGCACGCCGCUCUCCGCCUCACCGCAGCCCGGCGCCGCCCGGAUGCAGGCCCUCAGCCGGAAGCGGCCCCGGCCCGGCCCCACGCAUGCGCGCUCCUCCCGAGCGGCGCUCGCACCGCUUCCCGCUGUGCUCGGCGCCCCCCGGGCCGGAGCGAGGCUGCGCGGCGGCCAUUGGCUGCGGGCGGCUCCUCCCCGCGCCUCGGGCAGCUCGGGCAGCUCGGGGCCGUGCGGGGACGGCCGUGCGGGGACGGCGAGCCCCGGGCCCCGCGCCGCCCGUGUGCGGGCCGUGCGAUCGCCGCUAACGGCCGGCCCCGCUCGGUGCGUUGCAGCCGGGAGCGCCUGGCACCGCGCUGACCGUCCGCCCGUGGAGCCGGCAGCGGAGGACGAGCGGCGGCACGACGAGGACCGGACGACGACGACGACGACGACGACGACGACGAGGACGAGCGGAGCCUGCGGACGGCCCUCAAGAAGCUGCGGCUGGACGCGGCGCGGCGGCACGAGGACGAGGAGGAGCAGCAGCAGCAGCAGCAGGACGACGACGAGGACGAGGACGACGACGACGACGACGAGGACGAGGAGGAGCGCAGCCUGCGGACGGCCCUCCAGGAGCUGCGGGUGGACGCGGCGCGGUGAGUGGCGCGGAGCGGUGCGCGGCUGUCGGUACCGCGCUCAGCAGAGACGGAGCGCUCUGACAGAUCUCUGGCGGGUCCCGUUUCUCACCGCUGAGUGCAGAGGAGCUCAGGGCUGCACACGCAAUUGUCGCAGCCCAUCACCUGAAGCUGCGGGGCCGAAUCGGGAUGCUGACGCCGUGCGCUGAGGCACCGCUGUAACGCGGCCCUCUCUCCUUUACCUCCUCCUCCCCCCUUCAUUGCUGCUGUGAACUACCUGGAUAUUCAGUGCGAUGCUGCCAGUAGCUCUGAUAGCCAGCUUCUGCACUGCAGCUCGGUUUGGAGUGGCAGUGGCCAAGACAAAGCACCUCCAGUAAAGCCCAGUCCCUUAAACACGGAAGAACUGCGGGGAAGUACCUUUACAGCAGCAGUGUUUGCGUGCCUCUCUCUUCUGGGAGAGCCCCGCUUCCUUAAGGCUCUUCCGCUGCUCCUGUCAGGGACUGCACACCAACAGCCGUCUCAGUCUUGGAAGCAAAAAGAAAAGAGCAACACCCACGUUAGGUGCCAUGAGCCACGCCACAGAGCUGCGUGAGCAACGGCACAGGUCCCGUAUUUACCUACCUGUUCACCUGUUCUGACCCUGCAGGUGUGAGAGGACUGCAGGAGGACCGGCCGGUCUCUCACGGCACGGACGUUCCGGGUCUCCUGUCCUAUCCAUCUGUGAAACAGCCCUGUGCAGCCCUCCCGCAUCCCGUUCUGUGGAGGCUCACGCUUAUGUCAGUGACGUGACUGUGGAAGACCUGGCAGGGUACCUGGAACACCAUCUGCAUAUACCAAAGAAAAUGUCUGCCAUGGCAGAAAUGAUGUAUUCAUAACCAAACAGCAAAAACAGUCACAGUCCUAAGCGUUAUCAGAAAUUUAAAUGGCUCGUUUGUGCCAUAUUUGUAAUGUUCUGUUUCAUGUACAGUUUAGUUUUGUAAUUAAGAGAAAAACUGUACAUAGUUGCAUAGACUCCUGUGGCUGAAAUGAUGUAUACUUAACUGAAAGCCAUAUUCAGUCACAUAGUAAUACAGUUUAUUUUUGUAACUCGAAUAAAAACUGUAUAUAGUCUCAUA